This 253-nucleotide ribosomal RNA is filed under the name uncultured bacterium. Its description in RNAcentral is "partial 16S ribosomal RNA". It matches the Rfam family "Bacterial small subunit ribosomal RNA", at positions 524 to 776 of the family's 1533-position model. The record is from RNAcentral.
UACGUAGGGGGCGAGCGUUGAUCGGAAUUACUGGGCGUAAAGGGCGUGUAGGCGGUGGGGUAAGUCGGACGUGAAAUCCCCGGGCUUAACCCGGGGGGGGCGUUCGAAACUGCCGUGCUCGAGUGUGGGAGAGGGAAGUGGAAUUCCCGGUGUAGCGGUGAAAUGCGUAGAUAUCGGGAAGAACACCGGUGGCGAAGGCGGCUUCCUGGCCCACAACUGACGCUGAGGCGCGAAAGCUAGGGGAGCAAACAGG